AUCCUGAUUCUAAAAUCUGUGUUCUUAGCUGAUGUAUUAAUUUUCAGAAAAAAAAAAUACUUGACAGCAGCAGUUUCAGAGAAGAAAAUUUGAGCUCUGUUUCCUGGGUAUCAGUCCACCAUGGCAGAGAGGUCAAGAGUAGUUCGUGUCAUGGUAGGCAGGAAGCAGAGGAAGUGGGAGGCAGGAAGAGGUCAGGGCAGGAUAUGUUCCCAAGAACAUACUCCCAGGGACCUAUUUUUUUCCAGCUAGUCCUUGCCUCUCACCUCUCAUCACAACCUGAUUACGCCAUUUUACUAUGACUCCACCAAAGGAUGGAUCCCUUCAUCAGCAGGCAGUGUCCCAAUCACCCUGGCACGUGAGCAUGUAUGUCACUGUAACCAGCAAGGCUGACUUUGCAGAUGAGAUGAUGUGGGAUCAGCGAAGUAAGUAUGCAUGGUGAUAAUCCGGGCGACUUCAUUGGCCCAUAACACUAAGCAGAGAACACCAAGUGGACCCUAGUGAAUCACAACGGGUGCUUCUGUAAAGCCUAUCCCAAGUUGGACAACCACAGGGAUGCAUCUUACCACACAGAAAGUGUCAACUCAGUCACUCUUCUCUGUGAGUGCCAUCACAGACUGCGUCAUCACACCCAUUUUGCAGAUGAGAGAACUGAGGCCUACCCCAGGUUGGCACACUGUCCACCGUAACCAGAGGGCCGGGCUGGCUGACUCUAUAGUCUGUAUUUUGGAUGCUCUGUUGCCUCUUGGAAGGAAACAGGGGCUGUGUAGAAUCAUUCUGAAGUGAAGAAAAGGCUGACUUGUAAAAUAUAAUUAAAACAACCCAAGGCAAGUUGGGGGAGUGCAGGAAGGGUGAGCCACACACACUUUCACGUGGGUGGGGAACGGCCGCUGUCACCGUCACUGGCAUCUGCCAAGUCUGGUUCAUCAGGAUGUGGCAGCUGGCUGAGGGCCUCUGGUCGCCACUAGAUUGUGCCCUCCCCCUGGCCUUUGCCUUCUGUCCCCGGUGCCUGGAGACACCUGCUUCUGACUUUCCACGCCCUCCUCUUUCUAGGAGGCUGUGUGAAUCAGCGGCUGAGAGAGACUAGCUCUGGGCUGCCUCUAUCUGUGUAUGUAGAAAUAAAUGCAUAAAUAAAUGGCCUUUAAAA
Long non-coding RNA from Mus musculus (house mouse), 1144 nucleotides. RefSeq annotates it as predicted gene, 36112. NCBI's taxonomy places the organism in Eukaryota, Metazoa, Chordata, Mammalia, Rodentia, Muridae. The record is from RefSeq and is a predicted model, not a curated record. The transcript is spliced from 3 exons.